ACAAGUUGUGAUUUGCGAAAGCAGGAAGUGGCACCGGAGCCAUACAGAGAAAUCACCAAGAUGAAGGAGAGCAAAACGUUCAUUAGGUGGCAGAUAUAUAUUUGCAAGGCCAUUUUCAAGAAGAAUAUUUAAAGAGAAAUUAAAUCUUGUGAGAUGAGGUCGACCGAUCCUGGAAGCGAGCUAAGCUGAAAUGGUCUGUCUGCCACUUCCACUCGAAUCAACCAACCACGAGCGGUACCACUGGCUUAUACGGCAUCGGAUGGGUGCUACAUAUUGUCGUUCAUUUCUGCUCGCAGCCCACGAUUCUCCACCUCCAGCUCUACGAUGCGGCGACUCAGAAGCAUCGCCUCCUCUUCCACCAGUUUCAAGUGAACUUUGACCUCCGCUUCCCUGGCAUGGGCGGACCUUUGUUUGCCUUCAGAUGACUGGGCGCCCUCUAUGUCACCGUACACUGAAUGGUACCUGGCCAGCUGCUCGUGCAUGGCCUCACUCUCUGAUACCAACUUGGAUCAAACUAGCAGCUGUCCCCAAUGAAGGGACUAGACUGAGCACAGAAUCCUGGAUUAAACUAGACAUGUGCCAUCAGAGCGUACUCUCACCGACAACAAGGACAGAAGAAAACUGAAGGCUGACACUAUGAGGGGCUGAAGUGGAGGACGUCAGCUUUGCUCUGAGUACAGACUUCAGCAUACCAGGCGGCUGCACCCCAUCAAGACACCGGGCAGCUGCUAGCCCUGCCCUCCGCUCAUAUCAGGGUGUCGUCUGACGUCCUUGGGUUGAGGGGGACAGCUGGCUGGGAUAGGCACAGCUGGGAGGGGUCACCAUGAUGGACAUGCGAGUUGACCAUUCUUAAUGGUGACAUAUUUGGAUCCAACACACUUAUUUAGUUAAAAAGUCGCACCUCUCUGGCUUUUUCCAACUCAGCCUGCAAGACGUGCUUGGCCACAUCCAGCUCCUGUGUCUUCUCUCGUAGCAUUUCAUUCUCCCAAUCCAAGUGACUGUUCUUCUUCUGCACGCCCUCCAGCUCAGUAUAGAGCCGCAUCGACACACUCUUGGCAACCUGAAAGCAAAGCCAAUGACAGAAUGUUUUGCGCUCGCAUUUAUCACUUGUGUAAAAUAUUACAGGAGUUUAAAACAUAUUUAAAACAUUUCCUUGUGGACUAGAUAAUAUGUAUUGGAUAUGCUUUGGUGUAAAUUUCGCGUGUAAGUAACUUUUUUAACCCAUUUUUGAGUCUGUCAUAUGUUCAAUUCUGGAGAUGUUACCAGAUAGCAAACGAUACCACGCUCCACCCUCUCCAAAAGUAUUAUCUUUUGAAAUGUACACUGUUUAAAUGUAUACCUUGAAGUCGUCGCAGCUACUUUUUUUUCCUUCUUCAUAAAUAAUAAACACAUUG
Molecule: long non-coding RNA, 1394 nt
Organism: Entelurus aequoreus (snake pipefish)
Lineage: Eukaryota; Metazoa; Chordata; Actinopteri; Syngnathiformes; Syngnathidae
Exons: 4
Source: RefSeq, a predicted model, not a curated record